Asparagus officinalis (garden asparagus) is the source of this 748-nucleotide long non-coding RNA. RefSeq lists it as uncharacterized. The transcript is spliced from 2 exons. Lineage: Eukaryota; Viridiplantae; Streptophyta; Magnoliopsida; Asparagales; Asparagaceae. The record is from RefSeq and is a predicted model, not a curated record.
CAACAGAGCAGCAGUAAUCAUCCUAUAUACCUCGAAUUAGAAUUCCAAAGUCUCUAAACACACUCAAACCCUCAAUUAGCUCAUCAAGUUUCUCAUCCAGACUCAGAGAGGUGAUAAUUAAGGGAGCAAUCUUGCACUUGAAAAUGUUAGCCUCAUGGUUUUCAUGCUUCUGUCCAGCGAAUAAGAUCCAUGAUGUCAAAAAGAUUGUGUCGACAUCUUCAUCUCAUGGUGAACCUAAAGGUGAAGCAGCAGUGAUUGCUGCUGCUAAGCAUUUCUCCAGUGCUCACAAGAUCACUUUUGGCUGAAACAAAUAUUUCUUUCGUGCUAUAUGUGCUUAGUUUGUCACAUGCUAGAAUAUUCAUAUGUCAGUCUGCAGCAGUUAGCUUGGACUUCAUGUGAAGAGCUCAGGAAACCCUGUGAAGAUUGGAGUACCUCACAAACCCCCACCCAAAACUUCCAAAUAACUUCAACAGACCGCCUAACAGUGUUAAUGGCGCCGCCAGCCUUUUUUUUCCCACCCAAAUAGGUGCCUUUUGAUCCAUUGACACUAUUAGGUGUGGAAAGAUUUUAAAGUUCAGAAGGUUUUCGCGGAAAAGAAAAAAAAAAGUUCAUCGUCGACACUUGAAGAUCGAAGGCCAGGGACUAAUAAAUGAUAUGAAAGCAUAUGUAAUCCCGAUAGUUAUUUCAAAUAUCUGAAAGCUUAUGUAAUUUGAAUUUGCUAAUUAAUAAGAUCUAUUUAAAUUUCACA